This 425-nucleotide ribosomal RNA is filed under the name uncultured bacterium. RNAcentral's name for it is "partial 16S ribosomal RNA". It matches the Rfam family "Bacterial small subunit ribosomal RNA", at positions 354 to 796 of the family's 1533-position model. The record is from RNAcentral.
GUGGGGAAUCUUGCGCAAUGGGCGAAAGCCUGACGCAGCCAUGCCGCGUGAAUGAUGAAGGUCUUAGGAUUGUAAAAUUCUUUCACCGGGGACGAUAAUGACGGUACCCGGAGAAGAAGCCCCGGCUAACUUCGUGCCAGCAGCCGCGGUAAUACGAACGGGGCUAGCGUUGCUCGGUAUUACUGGGCGUAAAGGGCGCGUAGGCGGACAGUUUAGUCAGAGGUGAAAGCCCAGGGCUCAACCUUGGAAUUGCCUUUGAUACUGGCUGUCUUGAGUACGGGAGAGGUGAGUGGAACUCCGAGUGUAGAGGUGAAAUUCGUAGAUAUUCGGAAGAACACCAGUGGCGAAGGCGACUCACUGGCCCGUUACUGACGCUGAGGCGCGAAAGCGUGGGGAGCAAACAGGAUUAGAAACCCCGGUAGUCC